UGGCUGCUUUGCUUGAUGCGUCUUUAGCUGU
Molecule: non-coding RNA, 31 nt
Filed under: Rattus norvegicus (Norway rat)
Lineage: Eukaryota; Metazoa; Chordata; Mammalia; Rodentia; Muridae
Source: RNAcentral